UUAAAACUUUCAACAACGGAUCUCUUGGUUCCCACAUCGAUGAAGAACGCAGCGAAAUGCGAUAAGUAAUGUGAAUUGCAGAAUUCAGUGAAUCAUCGAAUCUUUGAACGCACAUUGCGCCCCCUGGUAUUCCGGGGGGCAUGCCUGUUCGAGCGUCA
RNAcentral lists this ribosomal RNA (158 nucleotides) under Morchella conica. RNAcentral describes it as "5.8S ribosomal RNA". It matches the Rfam family "5.8S ribosomal RNA". Rfam says of the family: 5.8S ribosomal RNA (5.8S rRNA) is a component of the large subunit of the eukaryotic ribosome. Lineage: Eukaryota; Fungi; Ascomycota; Pezizomycetes; Pezizales; Morchellaceae. The record is from RNAcentral.